This is a non-coding RNA of Triticum aestivum (bread wheat), 119 nucleotides long. The record is from Rfam. Lineage: Eukaryota; Viridiplantae; Streptophyta; Magnoliopsida; Poales; Poaceae.
GGAUGCGAUCAUACCAGCACUAAAGCACCGGAUCCCAUCAGAACUACAAAGUUAAGCGUGCUUGGGCGAGAGUAGUACUAGGAUGGGUGACCUCCUGGGAAGUCCUCGUGUUGCAUUCC